This 245-nucleotide ribosomal RNA is filed under the name uncultured bacterium. RNAcentral's name for it is "partial 16S ribosomal RNA". It matches the Rfam family "Bacterial small subunit ribosomal RNA", at positions 524 to 768 of the family's 1533-position model. The record is from RNAcentral.
UACGUAGGAGACGAGCGUUGUCCGGAGUUACUGGGCGUAAAGGGUGCGCAGGCGGCCCGGCAAGUUUGCGGUGAAAGCUCCUGGCUUACCUGGGAGAGGGCCGUGAAGACUGGCGGGCUUGAGGCUGGGAGAGGGACGCGGAAUUCCGGGUGGAGCGGUGAAAUGCGUAGAGAUCCGGAAGAACACCAACGGCGAAGGCAGCGUCCUGGCCCACGCCUGACGCUCAGGCACGAAAGCGCGGGGAG